AAUGCUGCAGUGAUGGAGGAUGAUGAAGAUCUGGAGACUCUGGGAGAGAAACUGUUUGAUCUGAUAUAUCCUAAAUACACUGAGAUGACACCUAAACUUACAGGUGAUACCGAAUCUAUCUGUCUAUAAUAUUGUGAUGAUUCUAGUUGAACUGUAGCUGUGUGAUGUUUGCAGGUAUGCUGUUGGAGUUGAAAGCCUGCUUGUGUUGUGUCUCAGAUGUUGUAUGAUGAAGGUCUGCUGAAUAAAGCACUGGCCGCUCUCACAUCACCUGACGACAGUGAACCCAUGUCUCACACUGAUGACGCGGCGUCUGUGUCCUCCGCCUCUCUGGGGGACCGCUGUAUGACCUCACUGACCUCUACAACACUGGACACACACAGAAAAUAACAGCUCAGGCAGAGUGCCGAGGGGACAGAAGUGAGCGACGGCUCUGACAGAGAGGAAGUGGAAUCCAUUGGCAAGACGCUUUUCAAUGUUGUGCAUCAGUUAGACCCCACCCACUGCGCUGACAUCACCGGUGAGUUACUCAGCUCAGCUGAAUACUGACUUCUGAACUUGAGAUGUGUAUGUGCACACUGUGUGAUAUGUUAAAUGUGUGAACAUUAGGAAUGCUGAAACAGAUUCUGUCCGAACGGAGCAUCCUGGAAGUUGCAGUUCAGAGAGCAAAAAGUGCACUGGUACUUUAACCAAAUGUACACACACUCCCAAGGCUUUAUUGUAAUU
Molecule: long non-coding RNA, 723 nt
Filed under: Sinocyclocheilus grahami
Lineage: Eukaryota; Metazoa; Chordata; Actinopteri; Cypriniformes; Cyprinidae
Description: lncRNA (ENSSGRG00000045148.1)
Source: RNAcentral